CCGCCGUGAACUUAGCAGGGCUUCUUUGGGGUAGACACCGGGUGUCUUUAAAUGUGGUCGCACGUUUGGGAGGCCUUCCUAGUACCGCGUACCGUGUUGUACGGAUGCAGCCUUGGCGUUUGGAUGCAGCCUUGUGGCGUCCGUUGUCGCGUGAGGGCGCCCGACAAGGCUAACGCGAACGCGUCGGUUCGCUCGAGGCGAGUUGUCCGGUUGUACGUGGGAACCGAAGGAGUUUUUCGAGACUGCCACCCGGCCCCGUUUUUUUUUUGUCAACGUACUUGCGACUGUAACGUAUCGAGAAAGGAAAAACGAGAGACAACUUUUAACGGUGGAUCUCUUGGCUCGUGCAUCGAUGAAGAACGCAGCCAGCUGCGAUAAGUAGUGUGAAUUGCAGAAUUCAGUGAAUCAUCGAAUCUUUGAACGCAAAUGGCGCUCUCGGGUUCUCCCGGGAGCAUGUCUGUUUGAGUGUCGGCAUACCUUGCCAUCGCAUGAGAAGACCGUGCGGCGUUGAGGCGUCGCGGCGCGAGGCCGCGUCCCUCGAAAUGGAGGAGAACCGCUGGUUAGCGAUUCCCGGAGGCCGAAAAGAUGUUGGUUCCCCGGGAAAGCCGGCUCGGUUCGCGAGUAGUGACGAAUCCAAUCUCGACCUCA
RNAcentral lists this ribosomal RNA (648 nucleotides) under Palythoa sp. 'sakurajimensis' type A. RNAcentral describes it as "eukaryotic LSU rRNA". The stretch from base 318 to 471 matches the Rfam family "5.8S ribosomal RNA". The record is from RNAcentral. Lineage: Eukaryota; Metazoa; Cnidaria; Anthozoa; Zoantharia; Sphenopidae.